This 253-nucleotide ribosomal RNA is filed under the name uncultured bacterium. RNAcentral describes it as "partial 16S ribosomal RNA". It matches the Rfam family "Bacterial small subunit ribosomal RNA", at positions 524 to 776 of the family's 1533-position model. The record is from RNAcentral.
UACGUAGGGGGCAAGCGUUGUCCGGAAUCAUUGGGCGUAAAGCGCGUGUAGGCGGCUUGGUAAGUCCGCUCUGAAAGCCCGGGGCUCAACCCCGGGAGGCGGGUGGAUACUGUCAAGCUCGAGUCCGGAAGAGGCGAGUGGAAUUCCCGGUGUAGCGGUGAAAUGCGCAGAUAUCGGGGGGAACACCAAUGGCGAAGGCAGCUCGCUGGGACGUGACUGACGCUGAGACGCGAAAGCGUGGGGAGCAAACAGG